This 494-nucleotide ribosomal RNA is filed under the name uncultured bacterium. RNAcentral describes it as "partial 16S ribosomal RNA". It matches the Rfam family "Bacterial small subunit ribosomal RNA", at positions 28 to 507 of the family's 1533-position model. The record is from RNAcentral.
GACGAACGCUGGCGGCGUGCUUAACACAUGCAAGUCGAACGGUGAAGCGCCUUCCUUUUUGGUGGGUGUGGAUGAGUGGCGAACGGGUGAGUAACACGUGAGUAACCUGCCCCCUUCUUCUGGAUAACCGCAUGAAAGUGUGGCUAAUACGGGAUAUUCUGGGUCUGUCGCAUGAUGGGUCUGGGAAAGAUAUUGUUUCGGUGGGGGAUGGGCUCGCGGCCCAUCAGCUUGUUGGUGGGGUGAUGGCCUACCAAGGCGGUGACGGGUAGCCGGCCUGAGAGGGUGGACGGUCACACUGGGACUGAGACACGGCCCAGACUCCUACGGGAGGCAGCAGUGGGGAAUAUUGCACAAUGGGCGCAAGCCUGAUGCAGCGACGCCGCGUGAGGGAUGGAGGCCUUCGGGUUGUGAACCUCUUUCGCCAGUGAAGCAGGCCUGCCUCGUUUGUGGGUGGGUUGACGGUAGCUGGAUAAGAAGCGCCGGCUAACUACGUG